This 600-nucleotide small RNA is filed under the name Pongo abelii (Sumatran orangutan). Its description in RNAcentral is "retained intron". Lineage: Eukaryota; Metazoa; Chordata; Mammalia; Primates; Hominidae. The record is from RNAcentral.
AGAGAGCAGCCGGGCUGCCAGCGUUUCAUGAUCAACAUGGGGGACUCCCACGUGGACACCAGCUCCACUGUGUCCGAGGCGGUGGCCGAAGAAGUAUCUCUUUUCAGCAUGACGGACAUGAUUCUGUUUUCACUCAUCGUGGGUCUCCUAACCUACUGGUUCCUCUUCAGAAAGAAAAAAGAAGAAGUCCCCGAGUUCACCAAAAUUCAGACAUCGACCUCCUCUGUCAGAGAGAGCAGCUUUGUGGAAAAGAUGAAGAAAACGGGGAGGAACAUCAUCGUGUUCUACGGCUCCCAGACGGGGACUGCAGAGGAGUUUGCCAACCGCCUGUCCAAGGAUGCCCACCGCUACGGGAUGCGAGGCAUGUCAGCGGACCCUGAGGAGUAUGACUUGGUAAGCUGCCACCGCGCGCUGGCCCCAGAUGAAGGCAGUGGGCAGGACAGGGAGCAGGUCUGUAGGGCGCCCCUCAGCAGGGGGAGGCCGGCAGGGAAUGGGGUCCUGGGAAGACGUCCUCGGAAGUUGCCUUCCCGUGAGGGUCAGUGCCAUCCCUGCCCGGGCUGACUGAAGGAAGGGCCAUUCCUGCAGUUGCAGCCACGUGCC